Molecule: ribosomal RNA, 843 nt
Filed under: uncultured Boletaceae
Lineage: Eukaryota; Fungi; Basidiomycota; Agaricomycetes; Boletales; Boletaceae
Description: eukaryotic LSU rRNA
Rfam family: 5.8S ribosomal RNA (bases 215-369)
Source: RNAcentral
CAUUAUUGGAUUGAUUUGAAGAGUUGGAGAAAAAGAGUUAGAGGCUGUCGCUGGCUAGCUUAAAGCAUGUGCACGCUUGUUUCUCUGUCUUUCUCCAUCUCUUUCUCNCACACACACACACACCUGUGCACCCACUGUAGGCCCUCGAAAGAGGAUCUAUGUUUUACUUUAUCACCCAGUCGUAUGUCCAUAGAAUGUAUCCAAUCUAUUAUACAACUUUCAGCAACGGAUCUCUUGGCUCUCGCAUCGAUGAAGAACGCAGCGAAUUGCGAUAAGUAAUGUGAAUUGCAGAUUUUCAGUGAAUCAUCGAAUCUUUGAACGCACCUUGCGCUCCUUGGUAUUCCGAGGAGCAUGCCUGUUUGAGUGUCAUUGAAUUCUCAACCAUGCCUUGAUUGAUUUCGAGGCAUGGCUUGGAAAUUGGAGGUUGCCGGCGUCGAAAGACCUUGUCGGCUCUUCUGAAAUAUAUUAGCGAUGGACGGCAACAUGCACGGCCUUUCGACGUGAUAAUGAUCGUCGUGGGCUGGAGUGGGGAAUAGCUUUUUGUCUGUUCGCUUCCAACAUAUUUGGAGACCUUUGACUUUUGGUUCGGGCUUUGCGAAUGUCAGCUACUAGUUGGUCGCAAGACUAGCGAAUGCGACGGAAGCUCGCUCGAUACUUAGGGUUUUUGGUCUACAACUUUUGACAACUUGACCUCAAAUCAGGUAGGACUACCCGCUGAACUUAAGCAUAUCAAUAAGCGGAGGAAAAGAAACUAACAAGGAUUCCCCUAGUAACUGCGAGUGAAGCGGGAAGAGCUCAAAUUUUGAAUCGGGCGGUCUGACCGUCCGAGUUGUAAUCUAGAGA